Molecule: long non-coding RNA, 1021 nt
Organism: Mastomys coucha (southern multimammate mouse)
Lineage: Eukaryota; Metazoa; Chordata; Mammalia; Rodentia; Muridae
Exons: 3
Source: RefSeq, a predicted model, not a curated record
UUAUACCUGCAAGGAAAGCCAAAAUGGUGCUUGGACACACACAAACUCUGAUCUGCCCCACCCACUGGGCUCCUCCAGACCCUUCCCUCUUCUAUCCUGUUCCCUUUGCUCCCUGAAUUUGAAAGCACGUCCUGUUUCCUGUAUAUCCCAGGGUGUUUGCCACCUCCUGGCUUCUGCCCUGUGGAUCUUUCUGUCUGUCCGCCUUCAUUCAUGUCCCCAGGAAGCCAGGAAGCCUUGACUGACCCUUCCCGAGCACCUAAAUGUACUUACUGGUUUUUAGUCUGGCAGAGCACAGAGGCCUUGCCUGUUUCCUCUCGCCCCUCACAGUCCUGUGUCUUGUGUGUUUGGCCACAGAGCGUACCACAAGCUGGUCCUGGAGCCAUGGGAACCCUAUGAAUUUGUACCGAAGCUCAAGGACUUGGUCUAGGGAUGCUGACAAGACUCACUGGGCAUGAAAGAAGACUUCCCCAAUCCCUGGGGCUAAGUAUCCUGACCUUGGCCACACAUCCUGCAGACUCCCCAGCCCUAUGUUUCUGCGGCUGGCUGACUCCGACCUGUUCUUUUCAGGGGUUCAUCACAUUCUGGGUCUGGGAGCUGAGAACCGCAGGACUGACCAGUGUGUGUAGGUUGCUUGCCUGACCCCCAAGGAUAACAGCAAUAUAGGUUCAGCAGGUCAUGACCAAGCUGGAGCCCGUGUCAACGGAGAACUCACUACCCUGUGGGACCCAGAGAAACUUGUGGCUAAGUGACAGAGCUGUGAUGUCUGCCACCAGCCUGUGUGUCUGUGCCUCUGGCAUAGCCGGCUGACUCAUGGUGCCAGGACCACUGUGUGGGGACUCAGAAAGGGACUACAGGUCUUUGUGAUGGGCAUCUGUGCCUCAUCCCAGCCCUCCUGGGAGACUACUGGGACACACAGUCAGCCACUCUCCUCUGUGAGCCCACCUGUUUUAUUUCACACAACCCUUUCUGAGCGAAAUGACCACAUUUCAAAUAUUUUAAAUAAAGAAACUGUAUAGCACGU